GUGGACGCCAGUCUGCAUGGAGCCGACCUUGAAAUACCACCCUUUAAUGUUUGAUGUUCUAACGUGGACCCGUGAUCCGGGUUGCGGACAGUGUCUGGUGGGUAGUUUGACUGGGGCGGUCUCCUCCUAAAGAGUAACGGAGGAGCACGAAGGUUGGCUAAUCCUGGUCGGACAUCAGGAGGUUAGUGCAAUGGCAUAAGCCAGCUUGACUGCGAGCGUGACGGCGCGAGCAGGUGCGAAAGCAGGUCAUAGUGAUCCGGUGGUUCUGAAUGGAAGGGCCAUCGCUCAACGGAUAAAAGGUACUCCGGGGAUAACAGGCUGAUACCGCCCAAGAGUUCAUAUCGACGGCGGUGUUUGGCACCUCGAUGUCGGCUCAUCACAUCCUGGGGCUGAAGUAGGUCCCAAGGGUAUGGCUGUUCGCCAUUUAAAGUGGUACGCGAGCUGGGUUUAGAACGUCGUGAGACAGUUCGGUCCCUAUCUGCCGUGGGCGCUGGAGAACUGAGGGGGGCUGCUCCUAGUACGAGAGGACCGGAGUGGACGCAUCACUGGUGUUCGGGUUGUCAUGCCAAUGGCACUGCCCGGUAGCUAAAUGCGGAAGAGAUAAGUGCUGAAAGCAUCUAAGCACGAAACUUGCCCCGAGAUGAGUUCUCCCUGAGACUUAGAGUCUCCUGAAGGAACGUUGAAGACGACGACGUUGAUAGGCCGGGUGUGUAAGCGCAGCGAUGCGUUGAGCUAACCGGUACUA
RNAcentral lists this ribosomal RNA (745 nucleotides) under Salmonella enterica subsp. enterica serovar Stanleyville. RNAcentral describes it as "partial 23S ribosomal RNA". It matches the Rfam family "Bacterial large subunit ribosomal RNA", at positions 2164 to 2903 of the family's 2925-position model. Lineage: Bacteria; Pseudomonadati; Pseudomonadota; Gammaproteobacteria; Enterobacterales; Enterobacteriaceae. The record is from RNAcentral.